RNAcentral lists this ribosomal RNA (490 nucleotides) under uncultured bacterium. RNAcentral's name for it is "partial 16S ribosomal RNA". It matches the Rfam family "Bacterial small subunit ribosomal RNA", at positions 30 to 507 of the family's 1533-position model. The record is from RNAcentral.
AUUGAACGCUGGCGGCAGGCCUAACACAUGCAAGUCGAACGGUAACAGGAAGCAGCUUGCUGCUUUGCUGACGAGUGGCGGACGGGUGAGUAAUGUCUGGGAAACUGCCUGAUGGAGGGGGAUAACUACUGGAAACGGUAGCUAAUACCGCAUAACGUCGCAAGCCCAAAGAGGGGGACCUUCGGGCCUCUUGCCAUCGGAUUUGCCCAGAUGGGAUUAGCUUGUUGGUGGGGUAACGGCUCACCAAGGCGACGAUCCCUAGCUGGUCUGAGAGGAUGACCAGCCACACUGGAACUGAGACACGGUCCAGACUCCUACGGGAGGCAGCAGUGGGGAAUAUUGCACAAUGGGCGCAAGCCUGAUGCAGCCAUGCCGCGUGUAUGAAGAAGGCCUUCGGGUUGUAAAGUACUUUCAGCGGGGAGGAAGGGAGUAAAGUUAAUACCUUUACUCAUUGACGUUACCCGCAGAAGAAGCACCGGCUAACUCCGUG